This 249-nucleotide long non-coding RNA is filed under the name Marmota monax (woodchuck). The record is from RNAcentral. Lineage: Eukaryota; Metazoa; Chordata; Mammalia; Rodentia; Sciuridae.
CUCAAACUCUUUUGAUCUUCUGAUUCCUCUUGGGUUGAAACAGACCAAGUCUUCCCCCAGGCAUCCAGUUUGGGGGUGAGGGGGUGCUGUAUUUUUUUGACACGCUUACCUCCCACCUGUUCUUCCCCCAUCCCAUGCUGCCAACUUCUAACCCCAAUAGUGACUCUGUGCUUGUCUGUUUAGUUCUGUGUAUAAAUGGAAUAUUGUGGAGAUGAUCCCUCUCUGUGCCAGCUGGUUUCCCUCCCCUCC